AUUGAACGCUGGCGGCAGGCUUAACACAUGCAAGUCGAGCGGGGGAAGGUAGCUUGCUACCGGACCUAGCGGCGGACGGGUGAGUAAUGCUUAGGAAUCUGCCUAUUAGUGGGGGACAACAUCUCGAAAGGGAUGCUAAUACCGCAUACGUCCUACGGGAGAAAGCAGGGGAUCUUCGGACCUCGCGCUAAUAGAUGAGCCUAAGUCGGAUUAGCCAGUUGGUGGGGUAAAGGCCUACCAAGGCGACGAUCUGUAGCGGGUCUGAGAGGAUGAUCCGCCACACUGGGACUGAGACACGGCCCGGACUCCUACGGGAGGCAGCAGUGGGGAAUAUUGGACAAUGGGGGGAACCCUGAUCCAGCCAUGCCGCGUGUGUGAAGAAGGCCUUAUGGUUGUAAAGCACUUUAAGCGAGGAGGAGGCUACUCUAGUUAAUACCUAGGGAUAGUGGACGUUACUCGCAGAAUAAGCACCGGCUAACUCUGUGCCAGCCGCCGCGGUAA
RNAcentral lists this ribosomal RNA (501 nucleotides) under uncultured bacterium. RNAcentral's name for it is "partial 16S ribosomal RNA". It matches the Rfam family "Bacterial small subunit ribosomal RNA", at positions 30 to 523 of the family's 1533-position model. The record is from RNAcentral.